UCGGGAAUUUUGGGCAAUGGGCGAAAGCCUGACCCAGCAACGCCGCGUGAAGGAUGAAGUAUUUCGGUAUGUAAACUUCGAAAGAAUAGGAAGAAUAAAUGACGGUACUAUUUAUAAGGUCCGGCUAACUACGUGCCAGCAGCCGCGGUAAUACGUAGGGACCAAGCGUUGUUCGGAUUUACUGGGCGUAAAGGGCGCGUAGGCGGCAAUUCAAGUCAUCUGUGAAAUCUCCGGGCUUAACUCGGAACGGUCAGAUGAUACUGCUUUGCUAGAGUGCAGAAGGGGCAAUCGGAAUUCUUCGGUGUAGCGGUGAAAUGCGUAGAUAUCAAGAGGAACACCUGAGGUGAAGACGGGUUGCUGGGCUGACACUGACGCUGAGGCGCGAAAGCCAGGGGAGCAAACGGGAUUAGAUACCCCCGUAGUCCCUGAGCGGGCUGGCAAGGCGCAU
This 448-nucleotide ribosomal RNA is filed under the name uncultured bacterium. RNAcentral's name for it is "bacterial SSU rRNA". It matches the Rfam family "Bacterial small subunit ribosomal RNA", at positions 355 to 825 of the family's 1533-position model. The record is from RNAcentral.